AAUAAUCCCAAACAGCCCCUUACCCUAUUUCAUUUUUCACCAAACGUCGCCCUUGAAUCCAUCUUCUCUCAAUUCUCUCUGCACCAUCACAUAAACCCUAGCUGCUAGCACCCUAUUUCACCUUAAUCCACCUUAAUCCCCACCUAAUCCAUGGCCUCAUAUGACCAAUUGAGAUGUAUACCGGUCUUCUACAUCUUUUGGUGGGUUGUUUGUAUGAUAUCAUGGACAAAUAUCAUAGAUAUUUGGUCUAGCCCUUGCUUGACUUCGAUCUCUGGUUCUUUUCCGGCCAUCCAUGGAUGUUCAAGUCUGAUCCUUUACUUUUAUGACUAGAUUGGUAUUUUCUAAAUCUUUUCUCACAUUCUCUGGGUUCUUUGAAAACCUAGCUCUAAUAGUUGUUCGAUAUUUCUUUCAGAUCUAUGCUUAUUACAACUUCUUAAAUGUUUUCUGAAAGGUUCUUUGAUUUUAUUUCAAAAUUACUCUUCAUUUUUUAAUGAUUAGGGUUCUCUUAACUUCUCUUAAAGAUUUAUUCUAUGAUUUUUGGUGUUGCUUUAUGAUUUUACUAUUUUCAACAACUUGUUUAUGCUUUCCUUCUAUUUGAUUCAGCAUGUUGAAAACCUUGGGUCUUUUCGUUCCUCUCUCAGUUCUGAAUUUGUCCUUGUCUAUUUGAAUGUAUAUUUGUUUGAUUAAGUUCUUUAUUUUGACUCUCUUUUCCUUGUUUGACUUAUCUGAUUCUUAGUUCUUAUCAUCUUCUAAUCUCAACUACUUUUAAAGCCCUAAUUCCUAAAAGGUUUUCCUCACUUGUUACUGUGAGACUUUACUUGUUUCUGACUCUUUUUACCUGUUACUAUGCUUUCUUCACUUUUUAUUCUGUGUAACUACCUGACUAUGCUAACAACUGUGCUUCGAGUAGAUCUCUUUUACUACUGAAACCUAGCAUAUUCCUGCUACUGCUGCAUGUUUAUGUUGUUUCUCUUGCCAAUGUAUUUGGCAAUGCAUGUUGUGAUACUAUUGUUCAUUCUAUUUAUAUAUUUAAGUGUAGAAUUAUAUUUCUUUCAAAUAUUGUGACUGAUUUCACAAGUUUUCUUAUGAACCUUAAUUCUACUCGUCUGUUUAAAUUAAUUGUAUCUUUUCCUUUACUGUGAUUUUUGAUCUUGCUGAAUCCUUUCCCAAAACUAAGCAUAUUUUAAACCUAGUCCCAAUUACUUACUUUAUACUUUUAUUGCCCUUUAUAUGGCAAUAAAUUUUUUGUCUCCAAAUGGAUUCUUUCAAUAAAUUCAAUCUGUUAGUAUCCAUUAAGCAGGGAUUCCUUAAAUAAAGAGGAUCAUGUGUGUUAAUUGAUUCUGAUUGUGAUUAUUUCCAUGUUUGUGUUAAUACUUUUCGUAUUACCUUAUUCUUCACUCAUUUUCAAAACCAUAAAUACCCUAUGCUCCCUUCUUUUAAAGGACAAACAACUUGAGUUUAGAAUACACCCUUACACUGAAAACUCUCUCUUUCUUUACUGCUACUUGUGUUAUUUCUUUGUCUAGCCGGAUGAAACUCAAAACUAGAUUGUGGAAACUUUCUUACUUUCUCUUUCUGCACUUUGCUUCUCUACUAGUAUGUCCUAGUUAACUUUCAAGCCUCAACAACAACAUGCUUUCUUUAGUUGCUUUAGUUUCUCAUUCUUGUCUACUUCUGCUUAUGUUUCUGCAGUCAUAUAUUAUUAGCAUGGUAUAAUAUGCCCCCUUACCCUUAUAAAUUAAUGCUUCCCUAUGUGUGCACUAUGUCAGUUACUUGCUGUGUGCUUGCUGUCUUAUGAAGCCAAACCCCCCAUAUUACGUUUAUGUGUUUGUAUUCCUUCAGCUGGUUUGUAUUUAUGCCCGCAACAGUUAUUGUUGUGCAUGACCAAACCAGACCCCUACCAGGGUUAUACAAUAUAUCCCCACAAUCCAUUUCCUCUUUGAAUGGCUACUAAUUCUAUGUAGUUUGUGUUUGACUACUACAACUGGUUUUAAAUCACCCUUACCACUUGUUAUUUCCAACCUGGUUUUAAUAAAUCUUUUUCAAACUGUGUUCUACACUUCAAUUAUACUCUUAGAAUGUAGGUUCUUCCCUUUUGUGUGAGCCUUUCCUUGGGACCCUUGAGCUCCCUCUGAACUUGGACACAUAAGAUUGGCCCUUCUACACUACACUCAUUCUGUUUGGUUAUGCAAAUCUAGGUGUGAGCACUACCUGGGAUCCCAUGAGGUUCUUAGGGAACUUUGACACGCCCGGAUAUGAGAAAGGCUUUAGAAUAACAUUGUCAUUGAUAUGGCUUAUUCCAUAUCUCAGAGAGGAAGUCAAGAUUAGGGUUCCUAUGGUUGUAACUUCUAUUUUUUUGUAAUUCAAUCACUUGGUCUAUAAUCAUUUUUAAACAAGUAUGGGGCUGGCUAGUGAAAAGGGCUGGGAAAUAUGCAUGCUUUAGUUAUUAAAAGGGUAGAAAGAAUGUUACUAGGUUUACAUUCCUACUUGCGCAAUAGAAUCCAUGUUUAGGACUCCUUUCAUGCAUCAGAAAUCAUGUUCUUCUGGAUUUACACAUUAUUUUUAGCAUGCUCAUUUUUACUAUCACAUCACUUAGAAAUUUAUGCUUUGAAUGUAAUCAGUAUUUCUGCAAUCAUGAUCCUACUUCCAUGUACACUUAGAGAUCAUGUUUCACGCUAGACAACAUUAACAAAUAUACCAUCUCUGCUUAUCCUAGUAAUUACUGUUCUAAACGAUGUAAUACUUGUGCAUAUCAAAAUCUUGUUUAGGUUUUUGCAUAUAUGCAUCAGUCUCCACCUUUUUUCAUUAAGAUAUCAUGUCUUUAUGAUGUUACUUGUAGUUGGUUAAACACACUUAGGCUAAUUACGAAUACAUGAAAGGUAAUGAAAACAAUUUCAUUUAGUCCUUAGAACUAAUUGGCCAUAAUUUCUAUGUAUUGAACACGUAGAACAACAUGUUUAGGUAAUAAAAAUUAUCAGUAAUCUUGAAUAACUUCUGAAUCCUAUUUAUGCCUAGGCAACCCUUAGGUAAUAACUUAAAUAAAAUUGGAACUGCCCCUAUUUAAUUAUCAACUGAUACAACCAGCAAGCAUGCCUGAUUUGGACUUUUUUCCUAGGUUAUGUAAUAAAUCUAGUUUAGACCCAAACACCCUACUUUAGGAUUUUAAAAAUGUAGAGCUUAAUUGUGUUUAAGUCAUGCUAUUUAUAUGGAUUAUUUGCAGAUGUAUACAUGAGACUUUUAGUUGUUUAUAUGUCUCCCCUCUAAAUGCAGUCCUACUAUUUUUUGUAUGUCGCCUUAGCAUUUUACAGUUACACCAAAGAGUCGGCUUAGAACUUCCUUCUUAUAGGAAUAUUAGUACACAAUUCUUCCGGGAGUAAUAUGAAUGGGACGGGUAACAACAUGCAAUAGAGGUCGAGAGCAAUCCUGGCUUUUCAUAUCUUUACGAGGUGGGAAGGGUAGAUGUGGCUAUGAUGACUGGUGCGGUAAUACCAUGUCUAUCCCAUCUUUAAAGGAGUGAUUACCGGGUAUUUCAUUGACGUGAUCUGUAUUACAAGCAAAGCUAGGACACCCUUACCUUCAUAAGCAUGCUUAGAUUGUAACUCUUUUAAAAACCUUGAUUUUCUACUUUUUUUUGGAUAAAUACUUGUGUAUUUAAAUUCAAAAUUCCCUAUUACAUGAGCCUUAUUGGCUUACUUGUUAGCUGCACAAAUUUACAAAAACUAUCUGGUCGGGAACAUCACUAGUGGAUACUAAGGGGUUGUGAGCAUAUGAUUGUUACCCGGUUGAAACAAGCUCCUACAUGACUCUUAAAGUUUAGGAUUUUCUUUAAAAUAUUUAUUAUUAGGAUUUUUAUUUUUAUAAUUUAAUUGCAUGCGCGUGUUCAUUAAUGCAUGUUUAAAUUGAUUAUGAUUUAAUUGUUAAAUAAGUUUAUUUUACAAAUUGAAAAAAUAUAUAUAUGAAAAAAAAACUAUUUCCGGGAUGUUUAAUUAUUUUUGGUUUAAUUUCAAGUUGUUGCAUUUUAUUUGUGUUAAUUAGUAUUUUUGGUUUUUAAAUAAAAUUAGGAGUUAAUAGAAGUAAAAGACAAAAAGAAGUGAAUAAAAGAAAUGACAAAUAAUAGAAAAAAUGCAUAUAUAUACACAGCCACUCAGGCUGGCCACAAUUGGGCUAGACCUGAGUGGCCCAUACCCUUUUCCCCUUUAAAAACACACACAGCCCCAGCCCAAACCACUGACCCCGGUCCAGUCCACACAAGGACCUAUCAUAACGACACCGCUUAAGAGACCAACCAUCACAACCAUUGAUCGCAUAUCAUCCAACGGUCAUCAAAGCCUUCCCCCAAACCAUAUACAUAUGUCCAAAUGCCCACAUUCAGAGACCAAGCUACCCUUCUUCCUCGUACCAUCUCCCCAGUGUAACCCCACUUUUGACUACCCAUUGACCACCCAUUGAUCACCAUUGACUACCCGCCUACCACCCUAACGUCGCUGCCAUAAAUUGCCUCACGGCGGCGGCCGGUCACCAAACCUCCCCAGUUUACACCACCGAACCACCACAAUCUUCUCUACCCCGUCCUGUGAUUAGUUCCCGUCGAACAAGUCCCCUCCGUCUCGAAUAUUCAAAAUAAGGUCGUCGGAACCACCCUCCGGCGAACUUAUUCCAAAACCCUCAAGCUUUACACCAUAGAACCACUAGGACCUCCCCUUCCCUGUUUUGCAGUCUGUUCCCUUCGAACACCCCCCAUCGUCUCAAAUAUUCACAGAAAGGUCAUCAAAAACCCUAUCUCCGGCGACCCAAUUCCUAAACCCUCCAAACUUACACCCCUGAGGCAGCUUGAUCUCCUCUGGCGACCUUAUUCAAAACUUCCCCAAGUUCACACCAUAGGGCCAUUAGAACCUCCCCUUCCGCGUCCUGCAUCCCACUCCCUUCGAACACCUCCCCAUCGUCUCAAGUAUUCACAAAACGGUCGUCCGGACUCCAUCUCCGGCGACCCAACUCCAAACCCAUCCAAACUUACACCCCUGAAACACCUCAAUCUCCUCUUUCCACCCAUGUGUGUCACACCUUUCAAAUCUGCCUGAAAGGCGUCGAAUAUUGAUUCGGAGUUCAACCCCAAGAUCCCAACCCUGUCGGAACUUACUCAAGCUCCUCCCAGGCAACCCUUGGCCUUUACCCUCCCCAACCAUACCCUACACAAUCUCCCAAUACCGCCAAUCACCGAGAAAAAUCAAAUUUGACACCUCACAGGGUCUCAGAAUUACCAGAACCUCCGGUCCUGAACCUCUAAAACCCAUCAACCUAUAAUAAGUUGCUAGAAACCCAUGUGGAAGGGGUCAAGAACUAAUGAAAUGGUCUAGAGUGUAUGUGCAUAAAAAAGCUAAGUAUUCUGUAUACUUUCUUCAUUUCUUUAGCUUUUAUAUGUUUGAUUUCUUUUUAAUAAUUGUUUGUUUGUCCACAAUUUCAUAUUAAAUGGAUUUAGUAGUUAUAUGCCUAUUAGUUUGAAGUCCCAUUGUCUUGAUUUCUUUUGAAUAAUUUUUUUUUUUUCCACAACCUCAUAUGAAAUGGGUUCAGUAGUUGUACGCCUUUGUUUGUUAUUAGUUCGAAACCCCUUCGUUUCUUGAAUAAUUUGACAUUCUGUUAAUAUUAGCUUCUUGAUCAAUGUAAUUCUCAUAGUUUUUUAUCUUCGUCUCCUGAUCUUUAUUUGCUUUAUUCCCGGAUAUUCUGAUCAACUUGGUUAAGUUGUUUAGGCUACCAAGCAUUUGAUUCUUAUAAUAAUGUUGAUCUUUAGUACUGGAAUAAUUCAGGCUGAUUUGUGUGGGUGAAUCUUUAAUUGCUUUCUAAUUUUUUCAAUCCCUGUUUGAAGCUUUAUUUGAGUGAUUUAAUUAGGAUUUUCUUGUAAUGAGUAUUAGUUGAUUGGUCUUCUGGUUGACAGUGAUCCAUUGGUCAUAAUACAAAGACACCUGAAUGUUUACGAUCCUAAGUUAAAUAACUGAUAAACCUAAUCCAUAUUAGGACACCUAGUUGCAUGGAUCCAAUGGACCUGCUAGUCCAAGACCCAAACCUUGGCCCAUAACCCAAAUACAAUUGACCAGGGUCAAGGAAUAGUUGAGGUUAAAAACUUCAGGAGGGUAAUUUCGGAAAGGAAGUAGGGGUAUAAAAGGGACUAAAACACAAUUUCUGCCUCAAACUUGAGGCACAAGUCAUGAAAUGAAGGACCAUUUAGGAAAAGUGCAAAUUUGAAGCAAGGACUAAAGGAAAAACAAGGAAAAAACUGAUGCCCUAAGGCUCAACUAUAAAAGAAACCACCUGAGCACAUUCUGAGGAUCCGAAACCUUUCCUUUGAAUUCUAGAGAUAAAUAUACAUAUUAGCUCUUCCUAUAUCUGGGAGACACCAUUAGUGUUGUUUCAAUAAAUUUUUUGAAGACUUAAUUCCUUAAAAACUCUGCUGAAGUCCUGGGUGCACUGUUUCAUUGGCUACUAAUUGUUAGCUGAUUCAUUAUAUUUGCUCAUAGGCUUUGCUUUCAUCUGAAUUACAGGUACCUUCACUGUUCAUUGAUGUAUUGAAUCUCAAGUAAAAUGUAUUCUUAGCAUGAAGAUCUACUUCUAUUUUCAUUUUUUUGUUUUGAAUCCCCACCCUGUUCUUCCCCUCCAUUAGUGUUAAUAUACUCACCUUGUUGUAAUCAGACAUUUGAACUGUUUCAUUCUGUAAUAACUGAACAUUAGAGACUGGUUUAUUUGUAGUAUCAGGACAUUCGAACUAUUAUUUU
Molecule: long non-coding RNA, 6764 nt
Filed under: Nicotiana benthamiana
Lineage: Eukaryota; Viridiplantae; Streptophyta; Magnoliopsida; Solanales; Solanaceae
Description: long non-coding RNA (NBEN_LNC011005)
Source: RNAcentral